Molecule: long non-coding RNA, 621 nt
Organism: Alosa sapidissima (American shad)
Lineage: Eukaryota; Metazoa; Chordata; Actinopteri; Clupeiformes; Clupeidae
Exons: 5
Source: RefSeq, a predicted model, not a curated record
CUCCGGACAGACUCCGCCUUCAAACUGGCAAAUCCGUGUAACUGUCACCUCUGUUUUACUGUCGUGAUGGAGACAUUGACCCGGAUCAGACACCAGGGGGCGGGAAGCACAGUCACAACUGAUACGGCCAGCCGUCGUGAAACGCAAGCGCGAAUUUUUAGUUCUACGAUUUCGUCGACUGCCUUACUGCAGCCAGAGCUGAGUUAGACAUUAACGGAGGCGGUUGGUGAACACGAGAGCUAGUGAAAAGAAGAGUUCGUUUGAUUUGUUUCAGCCCCAGGACUGAGGCGUUCAGGUGGCGUGACUGGCGUGCCCUGUCUGCAAUCCUCCCUUUCAGUAAGUCUCUUCAGCCCCAGGACCGAGGCGUUGAGGUGGCGUGAAUUCGGCGUGCCCUGUCUGCAAUCCUGCCUUUCAGUAAGGUAAGUCCCCAGGACCGAGGCGUUGAGGUGGCGUGACUGGCGUGAAUUCGGCAUGCCCUGUCUGCAAUCCUGCCUUUCAGUAAGGGGCAGUAAGGACAAGAUCCACCCACCACCCAGUGCAUGCUACAUAUGUGUGUGUAAUAAAUUGAGAGGGAAAGUGUGUGUGAUAAAUGAAAUUUAAUAAAGUAAGUAAAAUUUUGAA